AUGCCACCGCUCUCCUCCUUUCUCUCUCUCUCUCUCUACUCUUGUCUGAUGGAGUGCAAGGCGGCGAGCGAGUCGCCCUCGUCGGCCCCCUCUUCUUCCAUGGACAGCUGCGGCGCCGGCGGGCCGCGGGCGACAGUCUCCACGGCGUCGUCCUGCUACCGGCCGGCGAUCGGCAGGGGCCUAAGCACGGACCUUCACCUCGGGCUCAGCCUGCGGUCAUGCUCCUCCUCCUUCCACACGGCCGACGGCGUCUCCGCUUCCACUCCAAGGUCUCUCUACAGACUCGUAAUUUUAUCUAAAAAUUUAACCUUCUUGUUCAUCAUUUGCAUCGGUCGGUCUCUGGCUCCUCUCUGCACAUCAACCGAUGCAUCGAUCAACCCGUUUCUUAGGAGCACCCUGACGACGACGACGACGAUGAGGCCAACGGCGCCGUCGUCUGAUCCGGCGCACCAGAGAGGAGGAGGCGGCGGCGGCCAUGGGCAGCGGUCGCUGUUUGUGAAGGUGUACAUGGAGGGCGUCCCCAUCGGCCGGAAGCUGGAUCUGCUGCUGCUGGACGGCUACGACAGACUCCUCGCCGUCCUAGGCCGCAUGUUCAAGGCCUCCAUCAUACAUCCGGAUACUGUCGGCCGUGAUCACCGAGUGGUUCUUGGGGAGAAGCAGGCUCGCCAUGUUGUCACUUAUCAAGACCAGGAGGGGGACUGGUUGAUGGCCGGGGACGUACCGUGGGAGCUAUUCCUGGCGGGUGUGAAGAAAUUGAAGAUUGCAAGGGUGGACAGUAGCACCUCUGAUUGA
This 792-nucleotide ribosomal RNA is filed under the name Triticum aestivum (bread wheat). Its description in RNAcentral is "partial small subunit ribosomal RNA". Lineage: Eukaryota; Viridiplantae; Streptophyta; Magnoliopsida; Poales; Poaceae. The record is from RNAcentral.